GUUAGGUCUAAUUUCUGGAGGGUUGGACUUUGAGAACUGGCUGAUAAGAUUGGCCAUUUGUCCUUAGGCAAUGGAGAGCAAGGAAAGAUUUAUGGAGCAGAAAGUUAUAUGAUCCACAUGUGCUUUGGAAGAAGUUUGCCUGUAUUGGAAAGGAUAGAGUCUUGUGGAAAGGAGUUUAGGUAGAAGAUUUUGGUUACAGAAUCACGAAGAUCCGACAACUGAUUAAAUGUGGAUGGGGGACAAGGCGGGGAAGAUGAAGUCAAAGAGGCAUCUGAAGGCAACUUCAUGUACUGCUUGUGAUGCAUGACUCCCGACACACAGACCGAGUGAAGGAGCCAACAUCGAUUCAUGUGCUUGAACUUCUUAGGAUGGAGACCCUGGGUCCUUCACUCGGCAUUCCACCCUCAGACCGGCCUGCGUGUCAAUAUCUUUCUGCAACCGGGUUGUCUGGACCAAGGAGAACUUUGCGAAGAUCUCCAGGAGCUUAAUUGCUGUGUCACUCUGUUCCCCUUUUCUGUCUGUUAUAUUUAGGCAGCCUUCAAUCCACCAAUAAUCCUAGUUGCAUGAUUUUAUAUCAAACCAUUUUUCAAGUUAUUCUCAUUUUUUCCCUGUAAAUCUAAGCAUUACUGUGUAAUGAGUAUUAUCUUUGUUAGCAGGUGAGAGACUUCCCUCUACUGGGCAGAUACACAACUGCUGCCCACGCUUAGAAUGAAGAAUACUAGUUUUUACACUGUAUAUUAAAAAAGAAAAUAAAUUACACAUGUGGUUAAAAAAAAAAGGACUUUCCCAUACAGUUGAUCUUGCCCUAGGAUAAAUUGCCACCAAGUCUUGUCCCUUCUCUUCUUUCCUUUAUCCUUUGCCCAA
Molecule: long non-coding RNA, 864 nt
Organism: Equus caballus (horse)
Lineage: Eukaryota; Metazoa; Chordata; Mammalia; Perissodactyla; Equidae
Source: Ensembl